UAUGGCUGUACUACCCUGAACGUGCCUGAUCUCGGAAGCUAAGCAGGGUCAGGCCUGGUUAGCAUUUGGAUGGGAGACUUCAAACCAUUCAGCUGAGAAUAGAAGCCCAGGUAAGACCAUAC
Molecule: non-coding RNA, 122 nt
Organism: Podarcis lilfordi (Lilford's wall lizard)
Lineage: Eukaryota; Metazoa; Chordata; Lepidosauria; Squamata; Lacertidae
Source: the annotation of a GenBank genome assembly